GAUGAACGCUGGCGGCGUGCCUAAUACAUGCAAGUCGAGCGAACAGACGAGGAGCUUGCUCCUCUGACGUUAGCGGCGGACGGGUGAGUAACACGUGGAUAACCUACCUAUAAGACUGGGAUAACUUCGGGAAACCGGAGCUAAUACCGGAUAAUAUAUUGAACCGCAUGGUUCAAUAGUGAAAGACGGUUUUGCUGUCACUUAUAGAUGGAUCCGCGCCGAAUCAGCUAGUUGGUAAGGUAACGCCUUACCAAGGCGACGAUGCGAAGCCGACCUGAGAGGGGGAUCGGCCACACUGGACCUGAGACACGGUCCAGACUCCUACGGGAGGAAGCAGUAGGGAAUCUUCCGCAAUGGGCGAAAGCCUGACGGAGCAACGCCGGGUGAGUGAGGAAGGUCUUCGGAUCGUAAAACUCUGUUAUUAGGGAAGAACAAAUGUGUAAGUAACUAUGCACGUAUUGACGGUACCUAAUCAGAAAGCCACGGCUAACUACGUG
RNAcentral lists this ribosomal RNA (497 nucleotides) under uncultured bacterium. Its description in RNAcentral is "partial 16S ribosomal RNA". It matches the Rfam family "Bacterial small subunit ribosomal RNA", at positions 28 to 507 of the family's 1533-position model. The record is from RNAcentral.